AGAGAGAGACAUGCGCGCAUAUCAAUAAGCGGAGGAAAAGAAACUAACAAGGAUUCCCUUAGUAACGGCGAGUGAAGCGGGAAGAGCUCAAAUUUGAAAUCUUCAAGGUUUUACCUUGACGAAUUGUAGUUUAAAGAAGUGUUUUCUGCUGAAGUUUUGGUAAAAGUUCUUUGGAAUAGGACAUCAUAGAGGGUGAGAAUCCCGUAUUUGACCAUUAUUUUCAGCUUUGUGAUACACUUUCAAAGAGUCGGAUUGUUUGGGAAUGCAGUCCAAAAUGGGUGGUAAAUUUCAUCUAAAGCUAAAUAUUGGCGAGAGACCGAUAGCGAACAAGUACCGUGAGGGAAAGAUGAAAAGAACUUUGAAAAGAGGAGUUAAACAGUACGUGAAAUUGUCAAAAGGGAAGCGUUUGACACCAGUGUUGUUUUCUCGAAAAUCAAUUAAAAAUGGCUCGAUUUUGUAUUGUUGAGACCUUAAAAGCUCACUGUACAUUUUUCGUGUCUUUUUUAAUGCACUUUUCGUUUAACAAGUCAACAUCAGUUUCUUUUGUUGUAAAAGGGUCAUUGGAAGGUGGCUUUCUUUUCGGAGAAAGUGUUUAUAGCCUUUGGCCUCUGCAAUCGGAGAGACUGAGGUCUGCAGCGUAGACUCUUCGGGGUUAGAUACAUUUGUGCUAAGUUAUAGCUUUUUAUAGACAACUUGUUGACUAUAAUUAGUCUUGUAGCUUACUCGCUUAUGCUAUUUUACCUACGCUUAGGAUGUUGAAGUCAUCGUAUCGCG
This 774-nucleotide ribosomal RNA is filed under the name uncultured Neocallimastigales. RNAcentral describes it as "partial large subunit ribosomal RNA". It matches the Rfam family "Eukaryotic large subunit ribosomal RNA", at positions 23 to 644 of the family's 3401-position model. Lineage: Eukaryota; Fungi; Neocallimastigomycota; Neocallimastigomycetes; Neocallimastigales. The record is from RNAcentral.